AACCUUUACAAUGUACGGAAGUGCGAUAAGGGAACUCCCAGUGCUCAUGCAUUGCAUGGGCUUUUGCCAUGUGUAAAUAGCUUGGCGAAUAAGUGGUGGGUAAGACGGGUGCCAGCCGCCGCGGUAACACCUGCGCCACGAGUGGCAAUCGCGUUUAUUGGGCCUAAAGCGUUCGUAGCCGGAUAGGUAAGUCUUGGGUGAAAUCGUUACGCUUAACAAAACGGCGUGCUUGAGAUACUACCUGUCUAGAGACCGGGAGGAGUUAGGGGUAUUCCUGAGGGAGCGGUAAAAUGCAAUAAUCUCAGGAGGACCACCUGUGGCGAAGGCGCCUAACUAGAACGGGUCUGACGGUGAGGAACGAAAGCUAGGGGAGCAAACCGG
This 381-nucleotide ribosomal RNA is filed under the name uncultured archaeon. RNAcentral describes it as "bacterial SSU rRNA". It matches the Rfam family "Archaeal small subunit ribosomal RNA", at positions 345 to 727 of the family's 1478-position model. The record is from RNAcentral.